GAGCGAGAGAGUCAAUGGUGUUGGGUAAGUAAGAAUCUCCCUCUUCAACAAAGCAACCCCCUCACCUGUAGAGAUACACACACAGAAACAAAGAUGGAAUGGUGCGAGUCGAUGCCUAAAGUGGAGCUUCAUGCUCACCUCAAUGGCUCCAUCAGAGAUUCUACUCUUCUGGAACUUGCCAGAGACUUGGGUGAGAAGGGUGUCUUAGUUUUUUCUGAUUUCGAACAUGUCAUCCUCAAAAGUGAUCGUUCUCUUGUUGAAGUGUUCAAGUUGUUUGACCUGAUCCACAUAAUCACCACUGAUCAUACGACUAUUACAAGAAUCACCAGAGAAGUUGUUGAAGAUUUUGCUUCUGAGAAUGUUGUUUACAUUGAGUUAAGAACAACUCCAAAGAAAAAUAAGUCAAUUGGAAUGAGCAAACGGUCAUACAUGGAAGCAGUUGUGGAAGGUCUGAAAAGUAUCGAUAGUGCUGAUGUUGCUUUCAUGCCACAUGAUGUUGCUGCCCAAAGUUUGUCAAAUUCUCUGUCUAUAGACAACACUAGUAAUGUAAUCCCAAGAAAAAGGAUAUAUGUUAGACUUCUUCUAAGCAUUGACCGACGAGAGACCACUGAAGAUGCCAUGGAAACUGUGAAGCUUGCAUUGGAAUUGAAAGAUGCAGGAGUAGUUGGUAUUGAUCUUUCAGGAAAUCCAAUUGUGGGUGAAUGGACCACCUUUUGGCCGGCUCUUCAAUUUGCAAAAGAAAAUGGCCUUGCCAUAACACUUCACUGUGGCGAGGUACCUAAUCCAAAGGAGAUACAAGCUAUGCUAGACUUUUGGCCUCAGAGGAUUGGCCAUGCUUGUUUCUUUGAAGGAGAAGACUGGGAAAAGCUGAAAUGUUUGAACAUUCCGGUUGAAAUUUGCUUGACAUCCAACAUCCGAACCAAUUCAAUCUCUUCACUAGAUGUUCAUCACUUUGCAUAUCUGCUUAUUUUCUGUGACCAAAAGUUAGAAUCACCGUUGUAACAACCUGUGAUUGGCAAUGCAGCUGACUUGUACAAAGCAAACCAUCCUUUAGUAAUAUGCACUGAUGAUUCUGGGGUUUUCUCAACAAGCGUUUCAAAAGAAUACAGUUUGGCAGCCUCUGCGUUUGGUCUUGGAAAAAAGGAAAUAUUUCAGUUGGCAAGAGAUGCUAUUGAAUUUAUAUUUGCAGAAAAUGAAAUAAAGAAGAUUCUGAAACAGGUGUUUGAUUCUUUCGUUAUGAACCUGGCUCUAUGAUCAUAAGUGCAUUUGAGAUGUUAUUGUAAUGCAUCUUUUAGUAGCUUCCUAGUCCUUGGACGGCAUAUUACAUAUGAAUUUCUGAAGUCUGGAUUCGGACAGCGUGAGAUAAAGUAAACUUUGUGUUCAGCAUUCUUGGAUUAUGAAUAGAAAUCUGAUCGAUUUGAAAAGGCUUCUACUUCUUUUGUGUUGUCUGUUCUUUAAACCUGUAGUCUUUACUCUUCUGAACACUUGUUAAUUUAGAUAUAAUAGAUAUAAGUUGGUUCAUUCGCUCAACUUUCUUUCUCA
Molecule: RNA transcript, 1542 nt
Organism: Benincasa hispida (wax gourd)
Lineage: Eukaryota; Viridiplantae; Streptophyta; Magnoliopsida; Cucurbitales; Cucurbitaceae
Gene name: adenosine/AMP deaminase family protein
Source: RefSeq, a predicted model, not a curated record